Molecule: long non-coding RNA, 1137 nt
Filed under: Sorghum bicolor (sorghum)
Lineage: Eukaryota; Viridiplantae; Streptophyta; Magnoliopsida; Poales; Poaceae
Description: long non-coding RNA (SBIC_LNC003248)
Source: RNAcentral
UCAUGAUAAGCUCUCACAUGGAAAUGAUGAAUAGUUGCUCUGCCAUGACUAGUUCUCAAAAUUAAAAUCUCUCUCAAGUUUAGGCAUGACUGUUAUUAAUUAAGAUUUGCUCUAAACCUGAACUUGUGGGAAGAGUACUUGAUCUAAAGUCUAAGUCGUUAACAGAUACGAUAUGGGAAGGUUGAGCUACUAUUUAUCUGUUCCUUGAGAUACUAGAAUUCUGGAGAAUUUUAUCUUUCAAAAUCUUUAAAAUGUUGCAUGAUGAGUUCCUGUAUGAUGAGAGUUUAAAAUCCUACCACAGCCAUAUAUACAUGCUUGGUAGACUUUGAGCCACACAUUUACUUUUUACUGCUUAUGAGCAUUGAGUGUGGUCAAGCUGUGUAGACCCUUAGGAGCUUGUCAUGUGGUUAAAUCAAGAUUCACUUGCACAUUCACUCACACAUGCUGCUUCUACUCUGGAAGUACGCAUCCACAUAUAUCCACCCAUUUCCAUUUCCAGAACCACCCAAAAAUAUUCUACUCCUAAUCCGGGAGAGAAUAGCCAAAAAUAUUAUUGUUUUCCCCUGUGAAAUAAAUGCUCAAGUUAUCUUGGUUACUACCACUUGCUACAUUAUUUCAAGAGAUCGAGUGCUCUAAAAAAAAGAGAAAAAAAGAUACGAAGAAAUAAAAAGGGGCAAGUGCCCGGAACCUCGAGACGAGAGGUAAAAAUGGACAAGUGUCCGAUAGUAGAAUUAGGGGUACAAGAUACCCACCUAAGAGGAAAGAAAAAGAAAAUACAGAGCAUCUCAUUCUCCCCAAAAGUUUCAAAAGAGCAAGAAAGGUAUGUAUCCCCUCAAAAGAGCACAAGUAGAAUUAGAAUUUCACCAUUAUUAUCACUAUCAUCACCAUACACCAUUCAUUCUCCACACAUGCACAUCUUGAUUUGACUUAUUGACAUGUUUCUCUGGAUCCAUGGUUUGACUAUGCAAUAAAUGUCUUGUAAGUAUGUAUUAGCUGUCUCCCACCUAUGAGCUCCACAUAUCAAAACCUUAUUAGAGUAGGGUGAGAGAGAAGACAAUGACACUAUGCCUCAUUCCAAAAAUACCACAUACUUUGAGAGAAGGCAUACACCAUUACUGCCUUGGUAAGGAUCCAGAA